CGUGUACGUGUGAUUCCUCCUGCACCAAACGAUUCUUCUUCAAAACUCCCCGGAUGCUGGCAUCCUGCGAACCUAGACUUCCACACUUCUAUUAUGACUGCAACUGUGACUGACUGCACACUGCGCCACCUGUGCUUAUGGGUACCGGGGGAAUCGAGAUUGUGGGGUGCGAUGCUUUCGUUUCACGAGGUGAUAGCUAGACCAUCGUCGCAAGCAACGAAUCCUC
This 226-nucleotide long non-coding RNA is filed under the name Physcomitrium patens. Its description in RNAcentral is "long non-coding RNA (PPAT_LNC010184)". The record is from RNAcentral. Lineage: Eukaryota; Viridiplantae; Streptophyta; Bryopsida; Funariales; Funariaceae.